This 255-nucleotide ribosomal RNA is filed under the name uncultured bacterium. RNAcentral describes it as "partial 16S ribosomal RNA". It matches the Rfam family "Bacterial small subunit ribosomal RNA", at positions 524 to 776 of the family's 1533-position model. The record is from RNAcentral.
UACGGAGGGUGCGAGCGUUGUCCGGAAUCAUUGGGCGUAAAGGGCGCGUAGGUGGCCCGGUCAGUUCGUGGUGAAAGCGCGGGGCUCAACCCUGCGUCGGCCAUGAAUACUGCCGCGGCUGGAGCACUGUAGAGGCAGGCGGAAUUCCGGGUGUAGCGGUGGAAUGCGUAGAGAUCCGGAAGAACACCGGUGGCGAAGGCGGCCUGCUGGGCAGUUGCUGGACACUGAGGCGCGACAGCGUGGGGAGCAAACAGG